This 71-nucleotide transfer RNA is filed under the name Rasbora lacrimula. RNAcentral describes it as "tRNA-Gly". It matches the Rfam family "tRNA". From Rfam's summary of the family: Transfer RNA (tRNA) molecules are approximately 80 nucleotides in length. Lineage: Eukaryota; Metazoa; Chordata; Actinopteri; Cypriniformes; Danionidae. The record is from RNAcentral.
AUCUUUUUAGUAUAAAAUUAGUACAAGUGACUUCCAAUUACUUAAUCUUGGUUAAAGUCCAAGGAAAGAUA